Molecule: ribosomal RNA, 582 nt
Filed under: Triticum aestivum (bread wheat)
Lineage: Eukaryota; Viridiplantae; Streptophyta; Magnoliopsida; Poales; Poaceae
Description: partial small subunit ribosomal RNA
Source: RNAcentral
AUGAAGGAUUUGGGCCCGCUCCACUUCUUCCUUGGCAUUCAGGUGACCCGAUCAGCGUCUGGCUUCUUCCUCUCACAAGCACAGUAUGCCGAGGACGUCCUCGAGCGUGCUGGCAUGGACAACUGCAAGGCUGCGCCUACGCCGGUGGACACCAAGGCCAAGCUCUCCACUGUUGUCGGUCCGCGCGUCGCCGACCCCUCCGCCUCCCGCAGUCUGGCCGGUGCUUUACAAUACCUGACGAUCACGCGCCCUGAGCUCGCGUACGCGGUCCAGCAGACCUGCCUCCACAUGCAUGAUCCGCGGGAGUGUCACCACGCUCUGCUCAAGCACGCGCUCCGGUAUGUGCGUGGCACGGCCGGGCUCGGUCUUCAUCUUCAGGCUUCCUCGACCCUCGAGCUCUGUGCCUACACCGACGCCGACUGGGCCGGCUGCCUCGACACACGCCACUCCACGUCGGGGUUCUACGUGUUCCUCGGUGAUGCUCUCGUCUCCUGGUCCACGAAGCGACAUGCCACUGUCUCGUGUUCCAGUGCAGAGGCGGAAUACCGCACGGUCGCCAACGCCGUUGCGGAAUGCGUCUGA